This 422-nucleotide ribosomal RNA is filed under the name uncultured bacterium. Its description in RNAcentral is "partial 16S ribosomal RNA". It matches the Rfam family "Bacterial small subunit ribosomal RNA", at positions 360 to 774 of the family's 1533-position model. The record is from RNAcentral.
AAUAUUGCACAAUGGGCGCAACCCUGAUCCAGCCAUCCCGCGUGUAUGAUUAAGUCCUUCCGGUUGUAAAGUACUUUUGGCAGCGCAGAAAAGGUAUCUCCUAAUACGAGAUACUGCUGACGGUAUCUGCAGCACAAGCACCGGCUAACUACUUGCCAGCAGCCGCGGUAAUACGUAGGGUGCAAGCGUUAAUCGGAAUUACUGGGCGUAAAGCGUGUGUAGGAGGUUCGGAAAGAAAGAUGUGAAAUCCCAGGGCUCAACCUUGGAACUGCAUUUUUAACUGCCGAGCUAGGGUAUGUCAGAGGGGGGUAGAAUUCCACGUGUAGCAGUGAAAUGCGUAGAUAUGUGGAGGAAUACCGAUGGCGAAGGCAGCCCCCUGGGAUAAUACUGACGCUCAGACACGAAAGCGUGGGGAGCAAACA